GAUGAACGCUGGCGGCGUGCCUAAUACAUGCAAGUCGAGCGAACGGACAAGAAGCUUGCUUUUCUGAUGUUAGCGGCGGACGGGUGAGUAACACGUGGAUAACCUACCUGUAAGACUGGGAUAACUUCGGGAAACCGGAGCUAAUACCGGAUAAUAUUUUGAACCGCAUGGUUCAAAAGUGAAAGACGGUCUUGCUGUCACUUAUAGAUGGAUCCGCGCUGCAUUAGCUAGUUGGUAAGGUAACGGCUUACCAAGGCAACGAUGCAUAGCCGACCUGAGAGGGUGAUCGGCCACACUGGAACUGAGACACGGUCCAGACUCCUACGGGAGGCAGCAGUAGGGAAUCUUCCGCAAUGGGCGAAAGCCUGACGGAGCAACGCCGCGUGAGUGAUGAAGGUCUUCGGAUCGUAAAACUCUGUUAUUAGGGAAGAACAUAUGUGUAAGUAACUGUGCACAUCUUGACGGUACCUAAUCAGAAAGCCACGGCUAACUACGUG
This 497-nucleotide ribosomal RNA is filed under the name uncultured bacterium. RNAcentral describes it as "partial 16S ribosomal RNA". It matches the Rfam family "Bacterial small subunit ribosomal RNA", at positions 28 to 507 of the family's 1533-position model. The record is from RNAcentral.